GGGUCUUUAGCUCAGCCGGUAGAGCAGCGGACUUUUAAUCCGUUGGUCGCGAGUUCGAAUCUCGCAGGACCCACCA
RNAcentral lists this transfer RNA (76 nucleotides) under Comamonas sp. RNAcentral's name for it is "tRNA-Lys". It matches the Rfam family "tRNA". Rfam says of the family: Transfer RNA (tRNA) molecules are approximately 80 nucleotides in length. Their secondary structure includes four short double-helical elements and three loops (D, anti-codon, and T loops). Further hydrogen bonds mediate the characteristic L-shaped molecular structure. tRNAs have two regions of fundamental functional importance: the anti-codon, which is responsible for specific mRNA codon recognition, and the 3' end, to which the tRNAs corresponding amino acid is attached (by aminoacyl-tRNA synthetases). tRNAs cope with the degeneracy of the genetic code in two manners: having more than one tRNA (with a specific anti-codon) for a particular amino acid; and 'wobble' base-pairing, i.e. permitting non-standard base-pairing at the 3rd anti-codon position. The record is from RNAcentral. RNAcentral also lists the same sequence under 12 other names. Lineage: Bacteria; Pseudomonadati; Pseudomonadota; Betaproteobacteria; Burkholderiales; Comamonadaceae.